GACGAACGCUGGCGGCGUGCUUAACACAUGCAAGUCGAACGAUGAAGCCGGAGCUUGCUCUGGUGAAUUAGUGGCGAACGGGUGAGUAACACGUGAGUAACCUGCCCUUGACUCUGGGAUAACUGCGGGAAACUGUAGCUAAUACCGGAUACGACCCUCGGAGGCAUCUCCUGGGGGUGGAAAGAAUUUCGGUCAAGGAUGAGCUCGCGGCCUAUCAGCUAGUUGGUGAGGUAAUGGCUCACCAAGGCGACGACGGGUAGCCGGCCUGAGAGGGUGACCGGCCACACUGGAACUGAGACACGGUCCAGACUCCUACGGGAGGCAGCAGUGGGGAAUAUUGCACAAUGGGCGAAAGCCUGAUGCAGCAACGCCGCGUGAGGGAUGAAGGCCUUCGGGUUGUAAACCUCUUUUAGCAGGGAAGAAGCGAAAGUGACGGUACCUGCAGAAAAAGCACCGGCUAACUACGUGCCAGCCGCCGCCGUAA
RNAcentral lists this ribosomal RNA (484 nucleotides) under uncultured bacterium. Its description in RNAcentral is "partial 16S ribosomal RNA". It matches the Rfam family "Bacterial small subunit ribosomal RNA", at positions 28 to 523 of the family's 1533-position model. The record is from RNAcentral.